This is a long non-coding RNA of Nymphaea colorata (pocket water lily), 233 nucleotides long. RefSeq lists it as uncharacterized. The record is from RefSeq and is a predicted model, not a curated record. The transcript has 3 exons. NCBI's taxonomy places the organism in Eukaryota, Viridiplantae, Streptophyta, Magnoliopsida, Nymphaeales, Nymphaeaceae.
CAAGAAGUUAAUCAUUUAUUCUCGUCCAGAAAGGAAAGAAUUUUAUCCUGAGAUAGUAAAUAAGCUUGGAGAAGUUGACAAUGGAAGCUGCCUAGUGCUAUUCUCACGCUUUGACAGUUACAAGCUGGAGAGAAUUGUGGGAACACCUGCAUCCAAGAAGAUGGUGUCCUCCAUGAAGAACACCUUUGUCUUCUCUUAGCAGUUCAGUUCUUGUUGGCUGUAUGAAAAGAAAC